Molecule: ribosomal RNA, 465 nt
Filed under: Vreelandella stevensii
Lineage: Bacteria; Pseudomonadati; Pseudomonadota; Gammaproteobacteria; Oceanospirillales; Halomonadaceae
Description: partial 16S ribosomal RNA
Rfam family: Bacterial small subunit ribosomal RNA
Source: RNAcentral
CCUACGGGGGGCAGCAGUGGGGAAUAUUGGACAAUGGGGGGAACCCUGAUCCAGCCAUUCCGCGUGUGUGAAGAAGGCCCUCGGGUUGUAAAGCACUUUCAGUGAGGAAGAACGCCUGGUGGUUAAUACCCAUCAGGAAAGACAUCACUCACAGAAGAAGCACCGGCUAACUCCGUGCCAGCAGCCGCGGUAAUACGGAGGGUGCGAGCGUUAAUCGGAAUUACUGGGCGUAAAGCGCGCGUAGGUGGCUUGAUAAGCCGGUUGUGAAAGCCCCGGGCUCAACCUGGGAACGGCAUCCGGAACUGUCAAGCUAGAGUGCAGGAGAGGAAGGUAGAAUUCCCGGUGUAGCGGUGAAAUGCGUAGAGAUCGGGAGGAAUACCAGUGGCGAAGGCGGCCUUCUGGACUGACACUGACACUGAGGUGCGAAAGCGUGGGUAGCAAACAGGAUUAGAUACCCCGGUAGUC